Molecule: ribosomal RNA, 816 nt
Filed under: uncultured bacterium
Lineage: Bacteria
Description: bacterial SSU rRNA
Rfam family: Bacterial small subunit ribosomal RNA
Source: RNAcentral
AGAGUUUGAUCAUGGCUCAGGAUGAACGCUGGCGGCGUGCCUAACACAUGCAAGUCGAGCGAUCUUCUUCGGAAGAGAGCGGCGGACGGGUGAGUAACGCGUGGGUAACCUACCUCAUACACAUGGAUAACAUACCGAAAGGUAUACUAAUACAAGAUGAUAUAAGAGAUUCGCAUGGAUUUCUUAUCAAAGCUCCGGCGGUACGAGAUGGACCCGCGUCUGAUUAGCUAGUUGGUAAGGUAACGGCUUACCAAGGCGACGAUCAGUAGCCGACCUGAGAGGGUGAUCGGCCACAUUGGAACUGAGACACGGUCCAAACUCCUACGGGAGGCAGCAGUGGGGAAUAUUGCACAAUGGGCGAAAGCCUGAUGCAGCAACGCCGCGUGAGCGAUGAAGGCCUUCGGGUCGUAAAGCUCUGUCCUCAAGGAAGAUAAUGACGGUACUUGAGGAGGAAGCCCCGGCUAACUACGUGCCAGCAGCCGCGGUAAUACGUAGGGGGCUAGCGUUAUCCGGAUUUACUGGGCGUAAAGGGUGCGUAGGUGGUUUCUUAAGUCAGGAGUGAAAGGCUACGGCUCAACCGUAGUAAGCUCUUGAAACUGGGAAACUUGAGUGCAGGAGAGGAAAGUGGAAUUCCUAGUGUAGCGGUGAAAUGCGUAGAUAUUAGGAGGAACACCAGUAGCGAAGGCGGCUUUCUGGACUGUAACUGACACUGAGGCACGAAAGCGUGGGGAGCAAACAGGAUUAGAUACCCUGGUAGUCCACGCCGUAAACGAUGAGUACUAGGUGUCGGGGGUUACCCCCCUCGGUGCCGCAGCU